AACGAGGCCCGAUCUAGUUGAAAAUUACGAAAACGGAAUGAUAAAAAAUUUUAAUUCUUUGAAAUAUAUUCGUAUGUUUUAUGCUUAGAAAAAUUAGAGUGCAAUUUUGUUACCUUGCCUUUAUUGAAGUCAAAUGGGGGCACUGUCAAGAUAUGGACCAUUUGUCGUGUUUUUAUACACAAUUACAUACUAAAACUAUUUAAUAAACAAAGAAAUUUACAAAUUUAAAAAAAAAUACGUGAUGAAAUUCUUUGUUUUUCACAUAUAUCGUGCAAUUCUCAUUCUUCUUAUAAAAAAUGAAAAGAAAAUUGGAGGUAGCCUUUAUUGCAGUGAAAAGGGGGCAUGUCUAAACACAAAAUUUGGAUUUAUUCUAUCCAACUACGUAUUUUAUAGGUCGCAGUGGGUUUACAUAACACCAACAAACGAUUGCAAUACUGUUUUAGUUUCUAAAAAUAAAAAAAUUCUUACAUUAUGAAAUAAUUUUCUCGCCAUGCUUUAUUUUUCUCUUAACACGCGACUUUGUUUUACGUGGAAAAAAGGGGUAGAGGGAGGAGGGGGGAGGGGGGUGGGUAAAGGCGAAAAAAUUACGAUUUUUACUAAUAUCAUGUAAUAUAUAGAAAAAUAAAAUAUUUCGGGGGUUGCAUUGAAAUGAUUUAGAGACUUAUUUUAUUUUUUUAAACUGAAGAUAAUCCAUGCAUAUUUAAGUCCGCAAUAAAAAAAAAGUGUGUUAUAAACACUUCAACAUGUUCAAAGGGAAAGACUAAAAUCGUUUACUUUUGGUUGCAGUGUUUGUUUUUUUUAAACUCACAAAUUGAAAUCAAACAAGAUAAAUUAAAGAAUUUGUACCAAAAAAAUCGAUCCCUCAAAUUUAUUAGGUUCCAAAGUUGUUUAUUAAUUUAAAUAUUUAAAAAAAUUAAUAGAAAUGUCAACUUUCAAUGCACAGUCUAUAGAAUAACCAGGUAAGCAAGAUCAGCGAAACAUUUUAGCGCAAUAUGACGUCAUUUUAAUUGUGACGUUAUUGUGUUCAAAUGUGACGGCAGUAAUGGGUAUUGUGACGUGCCUGCAUGAGUCGACGCUGCGUUAAUUAAAACGUAUGCGCAGAUCAAGUAGAUCGGGCCUCGUUAA
Molecule: long non-coding RNA, 1125 nt
Organism: Saccostrea echinata
Lineage: Eukaryota; Metazoa; Mollusca; Bivalvia; Ostreida; Ostreidae
Exons: 2
Source: RefSeq, a predicted model, not a curated record